AUUGAACGCUGGCGGCAGGCUUAACACAUGCAAGUCGAGCGGAGCGAGGGUGCUUGCACCUUAGCUUAGCGGCGGACGGGUGAGUAAUGCUUAGGAAUCUGCCUAUUAGUGGGGGACAACAUUCCGAAAGGGAUGCUAAUACCGCAUACGCCCUACGGGGGAAAGCAGGGGAUCUUCGGACCUUGCGCUAAUAGAUGAGCCUAAGUCGGAUUAGCUAGUUGGUGGGGUAAAGGCCUACCAAGGCGACGAUCUGUAGCGGGUCUGAGAGGAUGAUCCGCCACACUGGGACUGAGACACGGCCCAGACUCCUACGGGAGGCAGCAGUGGGGAAUAUUGGACAAUGGGCGGAAGCCUGAUCCAGCCAUGCCGCGUGUGUGAAGAAGGCCUUUUGGUUGUAAAGCACUUUAAGCGAGGAGGAGGCGCUCUAGGAUAAUACCCUA
Molecule: ribosomal RNA, 440 nt
Filed under: Acinetobacter sp. oral taxon C51
Lineage: Bacteria; Pseudomonadati; Pseudomonadota; Gammaproteobacteria; Moraxellales; Moraxellaceae
Description: bacterial SSU rRNA
Rfam family: Bacterial small subunit ribosomal RNA
Source: RNAcentral